This 448-nucleotide ribosomal RNA is filed under the name uncultured bacterium. Its description in RNAcentral is "bacterial SSU rRNA". It matches the Rfam family "Bacterial small subunit ribosomal RNA", at positions 29 to 524 of the family's 1533-position model. The record is from RNAcentral.
AACGAACGCUGGCGGCAGGCCUAACACAUGCAAGUCGAACGCACCGCAAGGUGAGUGGCGCACGGGUGAGUAACACGUGGGAAUGUACCCUUUGGUUCGGAAUAACGUUUGGAAACGAACGCUAAUACCGGAUGAGCCCUGCGGGGGAAAGAUUUAUCGCCAAAGGAGCAGCCCGCGUCUGAUUAGCUAGUUGGUGGGGUAAAGGCCUACCAAGGCGACGAUCAGUAGCUGGUCUGAGAGGAUGAUCAGCCACACUGGGACUGAGACACGGCCCAGACUCCUACGGGAGGCAGCAGUGGGGAAUAUUGGACAAUGGGCGCAAGCCUGAUCCAGCCACGCCGCGUGAGUGAUGAAGGCCUUCGGGUUGUAAAGCUCUUUCGCACGCGACGAUGAUGACGGUAGCGUGAGAAGAAGCCCGGCGUAACUUCGUGCCAGCAGCCGCGGUAAU